UGAUUAGCUCAGUGGUAGAGCGCUUCGUUCACAUCGAAGAUGUCGGGGGUUCAAAUCCCUCAUCACC
RNAcentral lists this transfer RNA (67 nucleotides) under Oceanicola granulosus. It matches the Rfam family "tRNA". From Rfam's summary of the family: Transfer RNA (tRNA) molecules are approximately 80 nucleotides in length. Their secondary structure includes four short double-helical elements and three loops (D, anti-codon, and T loops). Lineage: Bacteria; Pseudomonadati; Pseudomonadota; Alphaproteobacteria; Rhodobacterales; Roseobacteraceae. The record is from RNAcentral. RNAcentral also lists the same sequence under 16 other names.